AGUUUGAUCCUGGCUCAGGACGAACGCUGGCGGCGUGCUUAACACAUGCAAGUCGAACGGUGAUGUCAGAGCUUGCUCUGGCGGAUCAGUGGCGAACGGGUGAGUAACACGUGAGUAACCUGCCCCCGACUCUGGGAUAACUGCUAGAAAUGGUAGCUAAUACCGGAUAUGACGAUUGGCCGCAUGGUCUGGUCGUGGAAAGAAUUUCGGUUGGGGAUGGACUCGCGGCCUAUCAGGUUGUUGGUGAGGUAAUGGCUCACCAAGCCUACGACGGGUAGCCGGCCUGAGAGGGUGACCGGCCACACUGGGACUGAGACACGGCCCAGACUCCUACGGGAGGCAGCAGUGGGGAAUAUUGCACAAUGGGCGAAAGCCUGAUGCAGCAACGCCGCGUGAGGGAUGACGGCCUUCGGGUUGUAAACCUCUUUUAGUAGGGAAGAAGCGAAAGU
RNAcentral lists this ribosomal RNA (449 nucleotides) under Clavibacter sepedonicus. RNAcentral describes it as "bacterial SSU rRNA". It matches the Rfam family "Bacterial small subunit ribosomal RNA", at positions 10 to 457 of the family's 1533-position model. Lineage: Bacteria; Bacillati; Actinomycetota; Actinomycetes; Micrococcales; Microbacteriaceae. The record is from RNAcentral.